AGUUAAACAGUACGUGAAAUUGUUGAAAGGGAAACGAUUGAAGUCAGUCGUGCUGGCGCGAAAUCAACCCUCUCGUCGAGAGGUCACAUGGCGUGGCGAGCCUCAAAACCGUCACGAAGCGUGAACUCUUGGCGAAAAGGAGCACUUUCGUGUCCGCUGGUUAACAUCAAUUUCGAACGUCAUAAAAAGGCUGGAGGGAUGUGGCUCCUUCGGGAGUGUUAUAACCUUUAGCGGAAUGUGGUGGUCGGGAUUGAGGAUUGCAACGAAUACCUUUAGGGCUGUUCCACCUGGCUUCUCUUUGGUAUCCUGGUGACGACAGCUUGCUGACUUCGUUAGGAUUCGCCUUUGAACAGGCUAGAGUGUGAGCAAAUUCGUUAAGGAUGUUAACGUAAUGGCUUUAAA
This 402-nucleotide unclassified non-coding RNA is filed under the name uncultured Entrophospora. RNAcentral describes it as "uncultured Claroideoglomus sequence contains 28S rRNA gene". Lineage: Eukaryota; Fungi; Glomeromycota; Glomeromycetes; Entrophosporales; Entrophosporaceae. The record is from RNAcentral.